Molecule: ribosomal RNA, 252 nt
Filed under: uncultured bacterium
Lineage: Bacteria
Description: partial 16S ribosomal RNA
Rfam family: Bacterial small subunit ribosomal RNA
Source: RNAcentral
UACGUAGGGCGCAAGCGUUGUCCGGAAUUAUUGGGCGUAAAGAGCUCGUAGGCGGUCUGUCGCGUCUGCCGUGAAAACCCGAGGCUUAACCUCGGGCUGGCGGUGGAUACGGGCAGACUAGAGGUAGGUAGGGGAGAAUGGAAUUCCCGGUGUAGCGGUGAAAUGCGCAGAUAUCGGGAGGAACACCGGUGGCGAAGGCGGUUCUCUGGGCCUUACCUGACGCUGAGGAGCGAAAGCGUGGGGAGCGAACAG